AACGAACGCUGGCGGCAUGCCUAACACAUGCAAGUCGAACGAGACCUUCGGGUCUAGUGGCGCACGGGUGCGUAACGCGUGGGAACCUGCCCUUAGGUUCGGAAUAACUCCCCGAAAGGGGUGCUAAUACCGGAUAAUGUCUUCGGACCAAAGAUUUAUCGCCUUUGGAUGGGCCCGCGUUGGAUUAGCUAGUUGGUAGGGUAAAAGCCUACCAAGGCGACGAUCCAUAGCUGGUCUGAGAGGAUGAUCAGCCACACUGGGACUGGGACACGGCCCAGACUCUUACGGGAGGCAGCAGUGGGGAAUAUUGGACAAUGGGCGAAAGCCUGAUCCAGCAAUGCCGCGUGAGUGAUGAAGGCCUUAGGGUUGUAAAGCUCUUUUACCCGGGAUGAUAAUGACAGUACCGGGAGAAUAAGCUCCGGCUAACUCCGUG
RNAcentral lists this ribosomal RNA (433 nucleotides) under uncultured bacterium. Its description in RNAcentral is "partial 16S ribosomal RNA". It matches the Rfam family "Bacterial small subunit ribosomal RNA", at positions 29 to 507 of the family's 1533-position model. The record is from RNAcentral.